This is a non-coding RNA of Trachymyrmex septentrionalis, 74 nucleotides long. The record is from Rfam. NCBI's taxonomy places the organism in Eukaryota, Metazoa, Arthropoda, Insecta, Hymenoptera, Formicidae.
GUCUCGGUAGUCUUAAAGGCUUAGGACGCUCGCAUGGAAUGCAAGAGAUCCGGGUUCGACUCCCGGCCGAGGCA